AAAGAUGGAUAUGCAAUCGCUUUAUGCUAUAGCAUGCUAUAGACUUAAAGAGGAAAGUCCGAACUUUAACUAUGAAUAAUAGUAAACGGUAGCAGGUAAUCCCUGUCGCUUGUGAAAGUAGAGGUGCGAACAGAGACGCUUUUUACAGAAAUGUAGAAAGUAUCCUUAUAAUUAGGAUAAGCUUUUGCAGUAAUGCAAAAGGUGAAACGGCUAAAUCCUUACCGGAAAGCAAGGCUGAAGGUUGGCCGCUUGAUCGUUAAAAGCGAUUUUAACGACAGAGAAAUGAUUGCACUUUUAAUUUAUUAAAAGACAGAAUUCGGUGUACAAUCCAUCUUUAUGG
This 340-nucleotide RNase P RNA is filed under the name Candidatus Endomicrobiellum siamense. RNAcentral describes it as "RNase P RNA component class A". It matches the Rfam family "Bacterial RNase P class A". From Rfam's summary of the family: Ribonuclease P (RNase P) is a ubiquitous endoribonuclease, found in archaea, bacteria and eukarya as well as chloroplasts and mitochondria. Its best characterised activity is the generation of mature 5'-ends of tRNAs by cleaving the 5'-leader elements of precursor-tRNAs. Cellular RNase Ps are ribonucleoproteins. Lineage: Bacteria; Pseudomonadati; Elusimicrobiota; Endomicrobiia; Endomicrobiales; Endomicrobiaceae. The record is from RNAcentral.